RNAcentral lists this long non-coding RNA (2595 nucleotides) under Citrus maxima (pomelo). Its description in RNAcentral is "long non-coding RNA (CMAX_LNC004310)". The record is from RNAcentral. Lineage: Eukaryota; Viridiplantae; Streptophyta; Magnoliopsida; Sapindales; Rutaceae.
AUUGCUUAUUAUAAAAAAAACUCUUCAAAAUCAAAUGAAGCUGCCAUUAUAAUCGUUGUAAAUAAAUGUUAAUAAUUUGAACAGCGACAACAGCUAUAAAUGGAGGCUUUUGCAAGUAAAUAAAUCAUCAAAGCACAAUUUAUUCUUCAUCUUCUACUUAAGAAAUCUUUGUAUCUGUUUCAAUAAUAUCAUCCAUUCAAAUCAUCAAUAGAAGCAUUCAACAUAAUCAAGAUCAAACAGUGUCUCAACCAUAUGGAUUUUCUAAGCUCAAACACAUCCAGUUAAUCAAACAUACAACAAAUGAGCCAUGGCAACAUGACAUAAACUCUCACUUCCUUAGCAUGUCUUAUAGGCUUGUCCAAGCAAACAUUCUUGACAUUGACAUCCUACAACAUCUUCUUUAAGCUGGUGUAUUACUCUGGAAUUAUUGUUGCUACAUCAAUCUCAUCUCCAGCUACCACAACCCCGAUCUCCAUGUAAACAUGGCUGCAAGUUAUAAACAACAACAUAUCGUAAGUAACAAAAAAUCAUUAAUAAAUUAAAAUAUGCUACAUGAAAGUUUAAAGAAAAUUAUACCAUCAAUAAUAAUCAUUUCAAGAUGAGAACAUCAAGCAAGAUUACGACAUGGACUCAGCUGGUUUGAGUUUAAGUUUUAGAGGCCAAAACACAUCAAACUUUGUGUGUAGUCGACAAAUUUAGAAUUGAUAUGUACAUCUCUUUCUAUGUGUAAAAGCAAAUAAUUGUCUUAAUAUAUGAGAAUGAAAAUACUAUUGGCGACGAAAGCUUCCUAUCAUUACAUGCUCUGAUGAGCUCAAAAUUUUUAACAAUACAUGCCACAAAGGAAGAGAAUUGAUAUUACCAGCCUUUUCAAAGCCAUGGCACCAUGCUGCCUAAGUAUUGAAAAUUAUAAGCUGGCACAAUCAUUGAAACUCCCAAACCCAAUUUAAAGUUCAAGGAUUAGAAGAAAAAAAUCAGCAUCGCUAAUUCUAAUUCUAUGAGGCCUAAGAUCCAUCAGCUAUGUUACUAUCCAGAUGAACAAAAACAUUUGAAAGAGAUGGAGAUGUCUCAUCAUGGAAGAAAAGGAAUUAAUGGAAUUAAAAGAAGAAAAUAAAAAGGAAGAGAUGGAAAUGCAGAUCUAGGUGAGCAAUGGAUAUCGUUUGGCUAGUUUUUCUCUUCUCCAACACCAACUUGUUUAACCAGACAAAAUUAAUAGAACAACAAAUUAAAGCUGUGUUUUAAAAGAUAUAUUCUAAAAGCAAAUUUGAUAUACUUCCAACUCCAAAUAGAUCAAGAUAAGAUGAAAGUAUCACAGUGAUUAUAAUCUUUUUUUUUUUUUUUGAAUGAGAACAUCAGAUUGUAAUAAUACUUUCUGCUUGCAUUUCCAUAAAUUAGUUCCUCAUUUGCAACCUAUGUGCUACCAACAUGACAACUUAUAAUAAUAAAAUGAUUAAGCAUUAAAUCGGCAUAAUAAAGAUUUGAAGAACCUUGUUAUGGCUAUGAAAUAGCUUUUCCAUCAAUGGAAAACAAAAUAAAUUUAAAUUGGAAAGCUGCGUAAGAUUGAUUUGGCUAAGGAACUGUAGAAUUAAAUGAUUUGUUUCUUGAGUGUUUCUUUUUUUCUUUUCUUUCCUUUGAUAUUAAUAUUUUAUUUUACAUAUAAAAUACACGAAAGAAUUACAAGAUGUCUCUGUUAAUGUUUUGUUUGUUGCAUAGAGUGAUUCCCAAAGCUCUCAUGCCUCAUAAGGUACUGUUGUUAUAUCUAUCUAUCUCCUCUACUGCAUGUGUGUGUGUAAUUGUGUAUAUGCUUUCUUUUAUUCCAUUAGUAGAAUAUUAUCAAGUAUCAAAGCAAUUAGUUAACAAAACCCUUACUUAAUUUGCAGAUAUUAGGAGAAAGCCAAUCAUAGAUAAUAUGCUACAUAAAAGGUUUGCAUAUGAGAGAAUUUCAACCGUGUAUGUUUUUUUUUUGGAAAAAAACACAAACACAUAAUAACUGCUCUUCAAUUCUAAAGACGAAAAACACAGUGAAUAUUUAAAAUUAAAAAAAUAAAAGAAAAUAAAAAAGAUGAACAACAAUCAGAACAACAACUUACUAUAAUUGACUAACAGAAAAAGAAAUCAGAGACCACACUUGUCGAGAUCAACAUGCAUAAAAAAAAAAUCAAAAUUCGAAAACCCAUUUUCAUUUGUAAGUAAUUUAGAAUCAACCCAUUCUUAAAAAAAAAAAAAAGAAUCAACAAAAUAAUCAACUGCAUCUUAUUUGCAUCUUCGAACUGUCACAAAAUGAGGACUAACCUCUUUCUCGCCCUAAUUCCAGUCGUGGCUGAAGCCAUUCACCAUUGGUACUCACUUCGUGGAAGACUUGGGCCACCACUCGAACUCAUCUCGUUCAUAACAGAAGCUAAACUCUUCUUCAAUCUUGAUAAAGCUUUGGGCAAAAGGAGCUGCUUCUAGACAGCUUUAGAAAGCAGAAAUUGAUGUUGGAUUUUGCUUAUGUGAAAGAUAAAGGGAAGAUUUUUGCUUUCUUUUGUCCAUCAAGUAUUGCAAAGCACUGGACAAGAGAUUGUAACAGUCAAUACUUCCCAGACAUCAACAAAUUUU